AGUGAACGCUGGCGGUAGGCCUAACACAUGCAAGUCGAACGGCAGCACAGUAAGAGCUUGCUCUUACGGGUGGCGAGUGGCGGACGGGUGAGGAAUACAUCGGAAUCUACUUUUUCGUGGGGGAUAACGUAGGUAAACUUACGCUAAUACCGCAUACGACCUACGGGUGAAAGCAGUGGAUCUUCGGACCUUUCGCGAUUGAAUGAGCCGAUGUCGGAUUAGCUAGUUGGCGGGGUAAAGGCCCACCAAGGCGAGGAUCCGUAGCUGGUCUGGGAGGAUGAUCGGCCGCAUUGGAACUGAGACACGCUCCAGACUCCUACGGGAGGCAGCAGUGGGGAAUAGUGGACAGUGGGCGCGAGCCUGGUCCAGCCAUACCGCGUGGGUGAAGGAGGCCUUCGGGUUGUAAAGCCCUUUUGUUGGGAAAGAAAAGCAGCAGGUUAAUACCCCGCUGUUCUGACGGUACCCAAAGAAUAAGCACCGGCUAACUUCGUG
Molecule: ribosomal RNA, 492 nt
Filed under: uncultured bacterium
Lineage: Bacteria
Description: partial 16S ribosomal RNA
Rfam family: Bacterial small subunit ribosomal RNA
Source: RNAcentral